GACAGAGGGGGCAAGCGUUGCUCGGAAUCACUGGGCGUAAAGGGCGCGUAGGCGGGAUGGCAAGUCAGUCGUGAAAUCUCUCGGCUCAACCGAGAAACGUCGGCUGAUACUGCCGUUCUUGAGGGAUGCAGAGGAGACUGGAAUUCCCGGUGUAGCGGUGAAAUGCGUAGAUAUCGAGAGGAACACCUGCGGCGAAGGCGGGUUGCUGGGCUGACACUGACGCUGAAGCGCGAAAGCUAGGGGAGCGAACGGG
RNAcentral lists this ribosomal RNA (253 nucleotides) under uncultured bacterium. Its description in RNAcentral is "partial 16S ribosomal RNA". It matches the Rfam family "Bacterial small subunit ribosomal RNA", at positions 524 to 776 of the family's 1533-position model. The record is from RNAcentral.